Molecule: transfer RNA, 67 nt
Filed under: Metanephrops thomsoni
Lineage: Eukaryota; Metazoa; Arthropoda; Malacostraca; Decapoda; Nephropidae
Description: tRNA-Gly
Rfam family: tRNA
About the family: Transfer RNA (tRNA) molecules are approximately 80 nucleotides in length. Their secondary structure includes four short double-helical elements and three loops (D, anti-codon, and T loops).
Source: RNAcentral
UAAUUUUUUAGUAUAAUUAGUACGCUUGGCUUCCAACCAAAAAGUCUAGGAUCCCUAGAAAAAUUAA